UGAUGAUUUAAUUUUUUUUUUUUUUUUGCAUAUUAAUUAGGCUUAAUUUUCAUAAAUUGCCAGCAGUGAAAGAGCUAAUAAAAAAGAAUAAUACAUUGGAUGUACCUGCAGCAGCUUCAGGCAUGGGAUGCAAGAAUACAAAAGCAUGUGCUAAAAGCGGCUCUCAUCGUGGCACUUAUGCAAAGAGCAAAUACAUACAAUCUAAAUUUUAAAUGGGACAAGCAAAAAUUAAUUAAGCAGAUGGAUGAUGACCAAGGACAAACCACUGAGGAUGUGCAAAUAUACAGAGUGUAUUUUAGUAUCUGUACCACCCUUUUUUCAGAAAUGCAAUAAGGUAGAAAGCAGGGAGAGGAAUUUUGAUGACCAAAGUAUAUAUUGGAGAAUCGAAUGGUCACAAUAAAAAUUUUAUGGACCUACUGGAAUUAGG
RNAcentral lists this long non-coding RNA (427 nucleotides) under Androctonus crassicauda. The record is from RNAcentral. Lineage: Eukaryota; Metazoa; Arthropoda; Arachnida; Scorpiones; Buthidae.